AGGGUUUUAACCAUCGACUGCAUGCAGGAUUGAUGAGUUUUGUGUAGGUUUGCUCCCCCCUAAUGAGGGAAAUAAUCAUUUUAUAAUCAGCAAUAGUAAACAAAACACAGAAAACAUUUCAGGACUUUCCAUACACUGUAAAAGGCAGAGUAUUUCAUGAUUUAUGUAUUUUUGAUUUAUUAGUAAAAGAUUGAGUAAAGUCCUUUUCAAAGUAAAACUGCUAAAUUUGACUCUAACCCACCACCACAAAUAGAUUCCAGUCCUGUGAGAAACACUGAGCAGCGUAAGCAGCAGUGAGCUUCUACUGCUGGAAACUUCCAGACAUGCACCUCAGUCCAGCGAUGAUGAGUCUGACCCAGAGUCUGAGACGGCAGAGCAGGUUACUAAAAGCAGUCUCCAGAGCAGAGUCUAUAAGCCAGCAACAUAAUGACUGAAGAUGAUCCAGAUGUGGUGGGUAGGGAGAGACCUCACAGCAGAAAUAAUGAUGACACCCAAAGCAAAACAGGAGAGCAACUGGCAGAACGGCCUCAGGAACCCAUAGAAAGCACCAGUAUGAUUAUGACCAUGUUCCAGAGGGGACUCUAGAGAGGACUGUGGCCCCAUUGCAGAGAUGGAAAAGACUACUCUACCCAAGUAAUAGUACAGUUACUCAGGUUAAAAUGUAUUUAAGUAGAAGUUAAAGUACUGGUCUAUAAAUCUACUAACAUAAAAGUGAAAAGUAAGUCAUUUAAAAUUUACUCUGAGUAGCUACUUUUGGGGCUUUCACAGUGAAAUCUGACCUGUCCUUAAUGUGCAAUAAAAACAAGAAAAUAUGGAGCUCCAACCAGGUUGUUUGAUAUAAUGUUUGACACCUAACCUAAAGUCCAAUGCAGCAGCUGUUUAGGGAAGAAAUGUGGAAUCAUUCUCUGCUGUGUGCAUGUACUGACUGUCAUGUGUUGUGAAAGCCAAACUACUGGUCAUGUUCAUGUUGUUGACCGAAAGCUUGGACCUCCUUUUGGCUUUUAGUGUUUUUUUGUUGUUUUUUCUUUAACUCAGUACUUGAUGCUUUUUAAAAUGUCAUAAGGUAAAAUACUUUAAUCAAAAAAAUACUGAAGUAAUAGGGAUUUUUAAACCUGGACAAAAAAGUAGAAGUACACAGAAGAGCUACUCAUUUACAGUAACUUGAGUAAAUGUAAUGAGUCACUUUCUACCCCUGCCCCAUUGUCAACAUAAACCACUUCAACCCAGCCUUCAUAAGCAACACAUGGAUGAGUACUCUAUAAACCAUUAUGUUGUUGAGUUUUAAUGCACCUUACAUCCCUGACUUUUACACCACACAAUCAAGAGGGGGAAAGUUGGAGACAGACUGGCACUAACUGACUUAUUACUAGCUUGUUUAGAGGAAAGGUGCUUGAGUAAGGAGAAUCAAAUGAAUAAUAAUAAUAAUACAUUUUAUUUGUAAGUGCCUUUCUGAACAUUUAAGGUCACUUUAUAGAUAAAACCAAGCACAAUGAAAACAAUAGAUAAAAGAAAACACAAUAAUAAAACCGGACAAAGAAAUUACAAAGAGUAGGCAAUCCUGAACAGGCGAGUUUUGAGUCUAGAUUUGAAGAGAGGGAGAGAGUCAAUGCUUCGGGUGUCUGGUGGGAGUGAGUUCCAGAGUUGAGGAGCAGAGCGGCUGAAAGCUCUGCUCCCCAUGGUGCUGAGACGGGCAGAGGGCACGGUGAGGUGGAUGGAGGAGGAGGAUCUGAGGGAGCGGGAGGAGGUGGCUAUGUGGAGGAGAUCAGAGAGAUACGGGGGACAAGAUUGUGGAUGGCCUUGAAUGCAUACAGGAGGAUUUUAAAUUCUAUUCUGAAUUUAACCGAGAGCCAGUGGAGCUGCUGUAGGACGGGGGUGAUGUGGUGAAAUGAGGGGUUUGUCCUUCACCUCUCAAGUUUUUAGUUUUCAAAUGUCAGUUUACUAUUUUUCGGUUUAGUUUUCAUUUUCAUAAAUGCUCUGGGUUAAGUUUUUAUGCACUUGUUGUUAGCUUUGUUAAUCUAUUUUAAAUAAAAAGUCUUUUAAAAUGGCUUCUUGCUGUAACUUUUUCCCCUCUGCUUUUCGCCCCUUUUGGCGUCGUAAGUAAAUGAGGAGGACCCAGAACCAGAGGAAGACCCGAUUGCUAGCAAGGAGUGGGA
Cheilinus undulatus (humphead wrasse) is the source of this 2153-nucleotide long non-coding RNA. RefSeq lists it as uncharacterized. The record is from RefSeq and is a predicted model, not a curated record. The transcript is spliced from 3 exons. NCBI's taxonomy places the organism in Eukaryota, Metazoa, Chordata, Actinopteri, Labriformes, Labridae.